RNAcentral lists this small nuclear RNA (142 nucleotides) under Schistosoma japonicum. RNAcentral describes it as "U12 minor spliceosomal RNA". It matches the Rfam family "U12 minor spliceosomal RNA". Rfam says of the family: Although the U12 sequence is very divergent from that of U2, the two are functionally analogous. The record is from Rfam by way of RNAcentral. Lineage: Eukaryota; Metazoa; Platyhelminthes; Trematoda; Strigeidida; Schistosomatidae.
AUGCCUUAAACUAAUGAGUAAGGAAAAUAGCAGGUCGGUUUGAUUUACCGAUCCCCAGGAUAUCUCAGAUAUUGUUUGUGGGGUACAGGCUGCCCCGUUGUGUCCCCUACUUAGGGAUGUGACGGUGCUAGCGGCCUGCCCU